UACGAAGGGGGCGAGCGUUGUUCGGAAUUACUGGGCGUAAAGGGCGCGCAGGCGGCUCUGAAAGUCAGAUGUGAAAGCCCCGGGCUUAACCUGGGAAUUGCAUUUGAUACUCUGGAGCUUGAGUACGGGAGAGGAGAGUGGAAUUCCCAGUGUAGAGGUGAAAUUCGUAGAUAUUGGGAAGAACACCGGUGGCGAAGGCGGCUCUCUGGACCGUAACUGACGCUGAGGCGCGAAAGCGUGGGGAGCAAACAGGAUUAGAUACCCUGGUAGUCCACGCCGUAAACGAUGUGCGCUAGACGUUGGAAGGCUUAGCCUUUCGGUGUCGCAGCUAACGCGAUAAGCGCACCGCCUGGGGAGUACGGCCGCAAGGUUAAA
This 375-nucleotide ribosomal RNA is filed under the name uncultured bacterium. RNAcentral describes it as "bacterial SSU rRNA". It matches the Rfam family "Bacterial small subunit ribosomal RNA", at positions 524 to 898 of the family's 1533-position model. The record is from RNAcentral.